RNAcentral lists this ribosomal RNA (445 nucleotides) under uncultured bacterium. RNAcentral's name for it is "bacterial SSU rRNA". It matches the Rfam family "Bacterial small subunit ribosomal RNA", at positions 330 to 792 of the family's 1533-position model. The record is from RNAcentral.
UCCAGACUCCUACGGGAGGCAGCAGUGGGGGAUAUUGCACAAUGGGGGAAACCCUGAUGCAGCGACGCCGCGUGGGUGAAGAAGCGCCUCGGCGCGUAAAGCCCUGUCAGCAGGGAAGAAAAUGACGGUACCUGAAGAAGAAGCCCCGGCUAACUACGUGCCAGCAGCCGCGGUAAUACGUAGGGGGCAAGCGUUAUCCGGAUUUACUGGGUGUAAAGGGGGCGCAGACGGCGAUGCAAGCCAGGAGUGAAAGCCCGGGGCUCAACCCCGGGACUGCAUUUGGUACUGCGUGGCUUGAGUGUCGGAGAGGCAGGCGGAAUUCCUAGUGUAGCGGUGAAAUGCGUAGAUAUUAGGAGGAACACCAGUGGCGAAGGCGGCCUGCUGGACGAUGACUGACGUUGAGGCUCGAAAGCGUGGGGAGCAAACAGGAUUAGAUACCCUUGUA